Molecule: ribosomal RNA, 301 nt
Filed under: uncultured bacterium
Lineage: Bacteria
Description: partial 16S ribosomal RNA
Rfam family: Bacterial small subunit ribosomal RNA
Source: RNAcentral
CAGUAGCCGCGGUAAUACGAAGGGUGCAAGCGUUAAUCGGAAUUACUGGGCGUAAAGCGUGCGUAAGCGGUGAGUUAAGUCUGCUGUGAAAUCCCCGGGCUCAACCUGGGAAUGGCAGUGGAUACUGGCUCGCUAGAGUGUGUCAGAGGGUGGUGGAAUUCCCGGUGUAGCGGUGAAAUGCGUAGAGAUCGGGAGGAACAUCAGUGGCGAAGGCGGCCAUCUGGGACAACACUGACGCUGAGGCACGAAAGCGUGGGGAGCAAACAGGAUUAGAUACCCCCGUAGUCCCUGUCUCUUAUAC